Molecule: long non-coding RNA, 1961 nt
Filed under: Homo sapiens (human)
Lineage: Eukaryota; Metazoa; Chordata; Mammalia; Primates; Hominidae
Description: HSALNT0379561
Source: RNAcentral
GAAACUGUGCUGGGUGUGCCAGCUCAUCAGGCACCCAAUCUUGCAAGACUAUCAUUAAAAGUCUCACUUUUGCUGUUCUCCGGUCUCUGAGGUCUCUGAGUCCAUUCUUCGGGUGUGGAUGGAUGGACAAUUUCAGACAUUGUUUGGACUAAGCUUGCUUUGGGUCUAUGGAGCCAGUUCCACAUGUGUCUGGAUGAAGUCAUCUUUCUCACGGGGCAGGGCAAACAGGCUCCACACUGUCCACUCCCAUCCACCAGGUGAGUAGCCCCUAGGGUGAGAACGCCCCUCCCCACCUUAGGAGUAAGGACGGGAUCCAGCCAGCUGCAGCAAACCCACCCACAAAUGGGAGACUACACAAACACUCCACUUCCUGCCUGAGAGGGUCUACAACCAAACGGCACGCAUGACUGUGGUGAAGCUGCGGUGUGCACCUGUGUCACCAACCAGGGGCUCCUCGGACGGGGGGAGGGGGGGCUCAAAGACCAGAGGAGGAGGAGGUGGGGGUGCUCAAAGAUCAGAACAGGAAGUGGCUGAAGACAGGGACUAGAGCCGGAUACAGAGCAGGUCAUCUGUGAGGUUCAGCUUUCCCUUAGAGAGGAUUACUAACCACUAAAGUUGGGCCAAGCAUCUAUUGCCACCAUGUCCCGUUAGGCAAUGCCAGAUGGCACUGCAUCAGGGGCCACACGUGUGUGUUCUGGGCCCACAUGGGUGACCCACCCGUCCCCCAUCACGGCUUGCUGGGGCUAUGGGAUCUCAGCAGCUCCAGGGACUGAAGUACUUACUCCACGAGGCCACACAGGGUACAGGCCACGGAGCCGCAGCCCCAGCAGGUGCGCACACACUGCCCGCACAGGGCUCGCUCACACUGACCGCAGACCGCCUUCCCAUCCACGGCUCGCACGCAUGAGGAACAGGCAAUGGACGCUACCCCAGAUGGGUCUGUGAGGAAGAAACGCCAAGCCGUCAGGCUGCAAGGAGACUGGAGUUUCCGGGACUGCCGGGCUACCUGCCUCCAUGCAUACCUGAGGGCAGAGGGCUCUGACCUGCCUACCCCAUCCCCACCUACACUGGAUCCUUCUGACAACCCGUGAGCCUGGUACAGUGCACAGGACCCCCGUUUUACUACAGAGAUCCAAGUGUUUGAAUUUUUCAACUGUCCUGAGAGGGCACACGAUUGCGGUCCUGCCACAGUUCCCACGGCAUCAUUCCCCUUACCUCCCCAUGGCCCAGAAUAGCACUCGCUUUCACAGCCCUAGCACACUGGAGACACCGCACAGAGGAACCUCGGGAGGCAGAGUCUUUCCCUCAUUCCCAAGGCACAAGCGGCACCAGGAUUCCGCUCAGACUGUUCUUCCAAGAAGCCUUCCGUGCCAUCCCUGCAGGUGCGCCUGCACAAACCUGUGCCUGCCCCGACCACCUGUGGCGACUCCUCCUGCUGGUCUCCCCAACUAGGCUGGGGAGCUCCCGGGAGACGGGGCACAUCUGUCUUGCCUGCCUUUGGUCUCCCGAGAAAGCCGCCGUGCCUGGCAGGGCCGCGCGCUCCAUGAAUACCUCUUGGGACAGGAGGGGCACUCUUCGGGUUGACUCCAUGCAGGACGCCCCGCUCCCCAACCUCUCCCAGGACAUCCUGCACGGGACAGUCCUGAGAAAGCACCAGGCGGGUGCCGCUCACUGCAGGGCGGCGACUAACCGGGAUCGUGGAAGAGGGCGCGGGGGCUAGGGGCAGGGACCCUUUUCUUUCAGGCUGUUGGACAGGGUGGGCGAACGCUGGGGUCCUCACAUCCCCCUCACUGACCCCAGCCCUGGGCGUGGCCAGCUUGUGUCCCCGCGGCCUCCCAGCUUCCGGGAACGCGGGGCCAGAAAGCAGGGCCCUCCAGCCCCCCGCUCAGGCCUCAGAGGGGACGCUGAGGCCCGGCCCGUUCCAGGCCCCGACGCAGCGGACCCUCGGCAGCCCGCCCGAC